UAGAGAACCUUUAAAUGCAGGUAUAUAAAAUAUUCCAUGUACAAAGAAUUCUUUUAAUACCCCAUGUGUUUUACAUAACUGAUGGUGCAAGUACAUUUUAUAACUUUUAACUUUUAACUUUCACUGUUCUGUAGUGCAUCAACAGAAGUAGUUUGACUGAACCGCUGACAGGUCUUUAAAUUUCACAUUUGUGCGAGCUGGAAAGACGAAGUCACAACAACGUACAGCUGGAUAUAAAAGACUUAAGAGGCAACACGUCGUACAUACACUAGAUGGCACCACGCCUACACAAGUGUCCACAUGCUGGACAUUAAGCAGCACCAAAAAGGUAGACCAAAGAGAUUAAAAAUAAAUAUUUAUUCUUUUUAAAACAGCAAAUAUCCACAGGACAACAGCUGCAUCUGUUUGGAGGAAGAGCAAUGUCAGAAACAGUGUUCAAGCGAAUGGAAGAUUAGGAAGUAAUCAUUUUUCCCAGCCGGAUCCUCUUCCACACGGCUUUGGGAUGAACACGCCGGACUGGCUUGUAUGAUGCCGAUGGUUGCUGGGGGGCCGCGAAGGCCUGCUGCGGCACCGAGGGACGCUGGGGGGGCAGGUAGGCCUGCCCUGGCACUACCGGGUGUGGGGGGUCCAGGUAGAUCUGCUGCGGCACCGAGGGACGCUGGGGGGGCAGGUAGGCCUUCCCCGGCGCUAAUGGGCGCAGGGGGUCCAGGUAGGCCUGCCCCGGCGCUGAGGGACGCUGAGGGAACAGGUAGGCCUGCCCCGGCGCUGAGGGGCGCGGGGGGUCCAGGUAGAUCUGCAGCGAGGGACGCUGAGGGAACAGGUAGGCCUUCCCCGGCGCUAACGGGCGCUGGGGUUCCAGGUAGAUCUGCUGCGGCACCGAGGGACGCUGAGGGAACAGGUAGAUCUGCUGCGGCGCUGAGGGACGCUGAGGGUCCACGUAUUCCUGCUGCCGUACAGGCUGGCGCCCGGGAGCCCUGCCGGUCGGCUUACUGUAUAUCACGCUCUCCUUCUCAGCGGGUUCCUUCAGUUGUAUGAUGGCGUGGCCACCGAAGCGCUCGGGGAUGGAGAUGGGUCCGAAGUGCUGCGCAGAGGUCCUGGACGCAGGGAGGUCACGGGCGCCCUGCGCCGGGUUACUGCCGCGCCAGGGGGUUUUGCGGUAGAUCUUACUGCCGGGCCUCUGCUUGGAGAAGCUCGUUGUUCCACUGGCUUCGUUGGACGCCGUAGACUGGCUGUGACGUUGGGGGAUAAAGGUGACGUGGGGCGCUGAAGCAGGCGUGUAGCUUUGUUGGGCUUGUCCUGCCUUCAUAGGGACCUCUGGGUGUUGGUUUCCAGCCUCCGGCCAACUCGGGAUAUUUCCAUUUCUCUCACUUGUUGGUGAGGACAAACGGGUCGGGUUAGAUGCCUCAGAGCCCAGACGCGAAGACACCAGUGUGGCGAACGCGCUGGCCGAUGUCGCCGUGCGACCAGGGAUUUGGUUUAGCAGAGCAGCAUCUAUGUCAGCAUCCAUGUCCAACAGGCUCAACGGAUAGUUGCCAGUACUCGGUGUAUUUGACCAAGUUCCCCUGCUAAUGGUAGUUUGAUGGUGCGUUUCAAAUGAACCACCACCAAUAAGAGCAGUAGAAAGGCCAAAUAUUUGCAGUGGCAUAGUUUCCUGAUUCAAGUUGGGUUUUGACUCAGAGCUGCUCUGCACCAACCCGGCAAAAACGCUGCUUGGUCUCGGAGCUGCAGGAGAAAACAAAAAACGCAUUAAUGCACAACCAAUACAUCACACCAAUAACUGAAGAGAACGGUGUUGCUCACCUUUCG
Molecule: long non-coding RNA, 1806 nt
Organism: Gasterosteus aculeatus aculeatus (three-spined stickleback)
Lineage: Eukaryota; Metazoa; Chordata; Actinopteri; Perciformes; Gasterosteidae
Source: Ensembl